This 483-nucleotide ribosomal RNA is filed under the name uncultured bacterium. Its description in RNAcentral is "bacterial SSU rRNA". It matches the Rfam family "Bacterial small subunit ribosomal RNA", at positions 30 to 504 of the family's 1533-position model. The record is from RNAcentral.
UGAACGCUGGCGGCAUGCCUAACACAUGCAAGUCGAACGGAAACGAUGGGAGCUUGCUCCCAGGCGUCGAGUGGCGGACGGGUGAGUAAUACUUAGGAAUCUGCCCAUUAGUGGGGGACAACUAGAAGAAAUUCUAGCUAAUACCGCAUACGCCCUACGGGGGAAAGCGGGGGAUCUUCGGACCUCGCGCUAAUGGAUGAGCCUAAGUCGGAUUAGCUUGUUGGUGAGGUAACGGCUCACCAAGGCGACGAUCCGUAGCUGGUCUGAGAGGACGAUCAGCCACACUGGGACUGAGACACGGCCCAGACUCCUACGGGAGGCAGCAGUGGGGAAUAUUGGACAAUGGGCGCAAGCCUGAUCCAGCAAUGCCGCGUGUGUGAAGAAGGCCUGCGGGUUGUAAAGCACUUUCAGUAGAGAAGAAAAGCCUACGGUUAAUAACCGUGAGUCUUGACGUAACCUACAGAAGAAGCACCGGCUAACUCC